This 1296-nucleotide ribosomal RNA is filed under the name Triticum aestivum (bread wheat). Its description in RNAcentral is "partial small subunit ribosomal RNA". The record is from RNAcentral. Lineage: Eukaryota; Viridiplantae; Streptophyta; Magnoliopsida; Poales; Poaceae.
AUGGAUCUCCUGAGGAAGGAGCUGGAGAAGAAGCGGAAGGCGGCGACGGCCGACUUCGGCGGUAAGAACUUUGUCCGGCGGUCGGAGCUGGAGGACAAGCAGCUCCAGAAGCGCCGCCAGAUCCCCGCCAAGGCUCCUUCUGUGCCCACCCCCAACUCCUCCUCCGCCUCCGACCCUACCAACUCCAACGCCGACCCCGCCCAGGCCGGGGGCGGGAACCCUAACCCUAGCUCCUCCGCCGCCGCGGCCUCUGUUCCUCCCGCCCUCGCGGGGAAGAAGGCCACGCCGGACGAUACGCUCCACUCCGAGGAGCGCCGCAUUGAUGAGCUCGUCCUCCCGCGGAACGAGGUCAUGCGGCGACUCCGGGUGCUCCGCGAGCCGGUCACGUUAUUUGGGGAGGACGACGCCGACCGCCUUGAUCGCCUCAAGCUCGUGCUCAAGUCCGGGGCGAUCGACGACAUUGACGACCUUGAGAUGACAGAGGGGCAGACCAACGAUUUCCUCCGUGACAUGAUUGAGCUCCGCAUGCGGCAGAAGGCUGGUCGAGACGCCUACGGCAAGGGUAAAGGCAAGCGUGUAGGUGCUGGUGAUGGUGGCGAGGGCGGCGCCCUGGGAGAUGAUGUGGAUGAAGGGGAUGGGGAUGCCCGGAGGAGUGGGGAUGAUGCUGACGCAGACAAGGACUCAAAGCGAAUGAAGACCAAGUUUGAGGAGCUUUGUGAUGAAGACAAGAUCUUAGUCUUCUUCAAGAGGUUGCUCAAUGAGUGGAACCAGGAGCUGGAUGAUAUGACAGAGCUGGAGAAGCGUUCGGCAAAGGGAAAGUCAAUGUUUGCAACGUUCAAGCAGUGUGCGCGGUAUCUCAGUCCCCUGUUUGAGUUCUGCAGGAAGAAGGUUCUUCCUGAUGACAUCCGCAAAGCAUUGCUCUUUAUUGUGGACUGCUGCAUGAAGCGUGAUUAUUUGCAAGCAAUGGACCAAUACAUCAAGCUGGCCAUUGGCAACGCGCCAUGGCCUAUUGGAGUCACUAUGGUUGGUAUCCACGAGCGUUCUGCACGAGAGAAGAUUUACACGAAUAGUGUGGCUCAUAUCAUGAACGACGAGACCACUCGCAAGUACCUUCAGUCGAUCAAGAGGCUUAUGACCCUUUGCCAGCGGCGUUAUCCUGCCCUGCCCUCCAAAUCAGUGGAGUUCAACAGCCUGGCAAAUGGGAGUGACUUGCAGGCCCUUCUGUCGGAGGAGAAGGAUCCGACGAAAGGUCCUUCUGAGGACAGGCUCCGGCUGAUGCCAGCAGCAAAAGAGUGA